RNAcentral lists this ribosomal RNA (1372 nucleotides) under uncultured bacterium. RNAcentral describes it as "bacterial SSU rRNA". It matches the Rfam family "Bacterial small subunit ribosomal RNA", at positions 28 to 1381 of the family's 1533-position model. The record is from RNAcentral.
GAUGAACGCUGGCGGCGUGCCUAAUACAUGCAAGUCGAGCGAACGGACGAGAAGCUUGCUUCUCUGAUGUUAGCGGCGGACGGGUGAGUAACACGUGGAUAACCUACCUAUAAGACUGGGAUAACUUCGGGAAACCGGAGCUAAUACCGGAUAAUAUUUUGAACCGCAUGGUUCAAAAGUGAAAGACGGUCUUGCUGUCACUUAUAGAUGGAUCCGCGCUGCAUUAGCUAGUUGGUAAGGUAACGGCUUACCAAGGCAACGAUGCAUAGCCGACCUGAGAGGGUGAUCGGCCACACUGGAACUGAGACACGGUCCAGACUCCUACGGGAGGCAGCAGUAGGGAAUCUUCCGCAAUGGGCGAAAGCCUGACGGAGCAACGCCGCGUGAGUGAUGAAGGUCUUCGGAUCGUAAAACUCUGUUAUUAGGGAAGAACAUAUGUGUAAGUAACUGUGCACAUCUUGACGGUACCUAAUCAGGAAGCCACGGCUAACUACGUGCCAGCAGCCGCGGUAAUACGUAGGUGGCAAGCGUUAUCCGGAAUUAUUGGGCGUAAAGCGCGCGUAGGCGGUUUUUUAAGUCUGAUGUGAAAGCCCACGGCUCAACCGUGGAGGGUCAUUGGAAACUGGAAAACUUGAGUGCAGAAGAGGAAAGUGGAAUUCCAUGUGUAGCGGUGAAAUGCGCAGAGAUAUGGAGGAACACCAGUGGCGAAGGCGACUUUCUGGUCUGUAACUGACGCUGAUGUGCGAAAGCGUGGGGAUCAAACAGGAUUAGAUACCCUGGUAGUCCACGCCGUAAACGAUGAGUGCUAAGUGUUAGGGGGUUUCCGCCCCUUAGUGCUGCAGCUAACGCAUUAAGCACUCCGCCUGGGGAGUACGACCGCAAGGUUGAGACUCAAAGGAAUUGACGGGGACCCGCACAAGCGGUGGAGCAUGUGGUUUAAUUCGAAGCAACGCGAAGAACCUUACCAAAUCUUGACAUCCUUUGACAACUCUAGAGAUAGAGCUUUCCCCUUCGGGGGACAAAGUGACAGGUGGUGCAUGGUUGUCGUCAGCUCGUGUCGUGAGAUGUUGGGUUAAGUCCCGCAACGAGCGCAACCCUUAAGCUUAGUUGCCAUCAUUAAGUUGGGCACUCUAAGUUGACUGCCGGUGACAAACCGGAGGAAGGUGGGGAUGACGUCAAAUCAUCAUGCCCCUUAUGAUUUGGGCUACACACGUGCUACAAUGGACAAUACAAAGGGCAGCGAAACCGUGAGGUCAAGCAAAUCCCAUAAAGUUGUUCUCAGUUCGGAUUGUAGUCUGCAACUCGACUACAUGAAGCUGGAAUCGCUAGUAAUCGUAGAUCAGCAUGCUACGGUGAAUACGUUCCCGGGUCU